CCUACGGGGGGCAGCAGUGAGGAAUAUUGGUCAAUGGGCGGGAGCCUGAACCAGCCAAGUCGCGUGAGGGAAGACGGUCCUAUGGAUUGUAAACCUCUUUAGGCGGGGAGCAAUGCCGGGCACGCGUGCCCGGAGGGAGAGUACCCGCAGAAUAAGCAUCGGCUAACUCCGUGCCAGCAGCCGCGGUAAUACGUAGGUGGCAAGCGUUAUCCGGAUUUACUGGGUGUAAAGGGCGUGUAGGCGGGAGAGCAAGUCAGACGUGAAAUUCCAGGGCUCAACCCUGGAACUGCGUUUGAAACUGUUCUUCUUGAGUACUGGAGAGGCAGACGGAAUUCCUAGUGUAGCGGUGAAAUGCGUAGAUAUUAGGAGGAACACCAGUGGCGAAGGCGGUCUGCUGGACAGCAACUGACGCUGAGGCGCGAAAGCGUGGGGAGCAAACAGGAUUAGAUACCCCGGUAGUC
RNAcentral lists this ribosomal RNA (461 nucleotides) under uncultured bacterium. Its description in RNAcentral is "partial 16S ribosomal RNA". It matches the Rfam family "Bacterial small subunit ribosomal RNA", at positions 338 to 795 of the family's 1533-position model. The record is from RNAcentral.